GCUGGGCGUGGUGGUAGGCGCCUGUAAUCCCAGCUACUCGGGAGGUUGAGGCAGGAGAAUCGCUUGAACCCGGGAGGUGGAGGUUGCAGUGAGCCGAGAUUGCACCACUGUACUCAAGUCUGGGCAACAGGGUGAGACCAUGUUGCAAAAAUAAAUAAAUAAAUAAAUAAAAUAAAAAAGAUUUAAAAUAGAUUUUAGCUUUUUUUUUUGACACGGAGUUUUGCUCUUGUUGCCCAGGCUGGAGUGCAAUGGCGCAAUCUUGGCUCACUGCAACCUCUGCCUCCUGGGUUCAAGUGAUUCUCCUGCCUCAG
This 311-nucleotide small RNA is filed under the name Macaca mulatta (Rhesus monkey). RNAcentral's name for it is "Metazoan signal recognition particle RNA (ENSMMUG00000053447.1)". The record is from RNAcentral. Lineage: Eukaryota; Metazoa; Chordata; Mammalia; Primates; Cercopithecidae.